RNAcentral lists this non-coding RNA (29 nucleotides) under Rattus norvegicus (Norway rat). Lineage: Eukaryota; Metazoa; Chordata; Mammalia; Rodentia; Muridae. The record is from RNAcentral.
UGUGUGAAUGAAAUGUAUUCCAGAGGGUA